RNAcentral lists this transfer RNA (72 nucleotides) under Camelus bactrianus (Bactrian camel). It matches the Rfam family "tRNA". From Rfam's summary of the family: Transfer RNA (tRNA) molecules are approximately 80 nucleotides in length. Their secondary structure includes four short double-helical elements and three loops (D, anti-codon, and T loops). RNAcentral also lists the same sequence under 2 other names. The record is from Rfam by way of RNAcentral. Lineage: Eukaryota; Metazoa; Chordata; Mammalia; Artiodactyla; Camelidae.
GGGUAUACAGCUCAGUAGUAGAGCAUGUGCUUAGUAUCCACAAGGUCCCAGGUUCAAUCCCCAGUACCUCCA